Molecule: long non-coding RNA, 20164 nt
Filed under: Panax ginseng (ginseng)
Lineage: Eukaryota; Viridiplantae; Streptophyta; Magnoliopsida; Apiales; Araliaceae
Description: long non-coding RNA (PGIN_LNC005686)
Source: RNAcentral
UACCGAAUAAAUUUUUUUUUCUUUCUAUUCAUUUAUUCCCUGAAUCGCAACCUUUACAAUUCUUCUUUGUACUAGAAUCAUAUCUAUUCUCAUUUCAGAAUAAACAUUCUUUAUCCAUUCAACAUUUCAAACUACACAUAACUGCCAAUUACAUUUGACAAAAUUAUCAAUCAUAGAUUUAUACCAUUUCUAAUUCAAGGAAAUGUAUUCAUUUAGCACAUCAUUCAAUCUUCAUCAUCCGUAUAGCAAGUAAUAUUGCCUAACAUCAUUAACCUGCAAAAAGUUUGUGUUUGCAAGAUUGAGCUCGACAGCCCACCAAAUUUAACAGUCUAUCAUGUUUCACAUAGCACACAAUUCAAUAUGCACUAUAUUUCCUUUACUAUGUAUAUCCACAUGCAACAUAUAUUCUUUACUAUGCAUAUCCUACAUGCAUCAAUAAUUCCUUACAAAACAUACAUUUAUACAUUUUACAUUUCUAAUUUAUCGACUUACAUCAUACAACAUGUGCUAUCACAUAUCACAUAUAAAUUGAUUUCCAUAACCCAAUUAACUUAGUCAUAUUUUGACUUUAACAAUUCAUAAAGCAUGGUAUAUAACUCACCACAUAAUCAUAUUUAAUCCACAAACAUAAUAGAACUGGUAAACUUGCCUCGUUUGCUGACUAACUUUAUAGUUUAAAGCUUAACUUUUCUUCAUGAAUCCUACACAAUUAUAUUCACAUGUAUGAACAUAUUAGCCACGUAUCCAUGGCAUAUAACUUGUAUAGUUAUAUAUUAAAUAUCCACAUUGCCACAUCAAUAGCUUAUGUUUUUGUUUUUGAAAAACUUUUGUAUUCUUUUCAAAUCUUUUAUCCUUUUGCUUUCAUCACCACAUAUGUUAGCACAUAUUUGGUUCACUUUCAUAUAAUUAUCCUUUAAAAAGUAUAAUAAUUUGACGAAGGAAUCUAUAUCUGGAAUAACAAGGACAGGGCCUACUAAAAGCAUAAUUGAAGAUAAGAGGGAAUAUACUGGUUUGGAGUUCCAGUUGGAAUUAAUAGCAUAAAAGAUAGCCAUGAUACUAAGAAGUAUAGCAGCUUGAAGAUUUUUGGCACAGAAAAUCUCCACCCGCCCUUAUCAUCUUGUAAUUGAUAUUUAAUCAUGCAAGUAUGCAUGUCUCAAAGUAUUCUAAUCUUUGCUAUAAUUCCAUUACUGUGUCUUUGUGGUAAUAUUUAAGAACAAAUAUUUAAUGAAUACUUACUUUUUAGGCAUUUCAUAAAUCCAUUUUAUUUAUUUUUCCAACAAACCAUGCUUGAUAGAAAUCCCAUGUAAUUGCCUGUCAAAAUCCUACUUAGGAUCAAACAAUUGGAUCUACCUAACAUGAUUUCUUUUAAUUAAAUGAAACAGUAAUAACAACAAUUCCAAAUUCUAGUGCAUGUAGACCUUCAACAUCUGCCUGUACAUCCACUCAACCAACUUAUAUGGUUAACUUAUAGCUUCUAUAAUAAAUAUAGUUUCAUUCUCGUAUACUAACGCGUUAAAUACUUUCGUGUUUCAACAUGACGCCAAAACAGUCCCUCUAAGCAUUAACAGUCCCUUAUUGUCAAGCUAUGUCGGCAGCCAAGCCUUGCUUGGCCCUGUCGGGCUCAGCCGGGCUUGGUGUAGCCGGCCCCAAUUUUUGGACGCUCACCUUUGCUAACUUUUAUUUCCCGUAUCUUUGACUCAUUUGUUUUUGAAUUUUGGGCAUUAGAUAGGUGAUACACCCACCUGUCAUAGAAAAUAUUAGCUAACAAUGUGACUAUUUUAGAUGUGUUGACUGAGACUGAGUUCUACUACUGCUAUUCGCUACUUGCUACUGUCAAUGGGCAGCGCUCCUAGUCUUGCUCACCCCAUGCUCUGCCAUUUUAUAUCUCCCAUGACAUUGAUCCUUUAUACGUCAAGUUUUGGAUAUAAUAUGGGUGGUAUACCCACCUAUUUAAGUAAAAUAUUUGCUAAACAUUUUGGGUACUUUAAACAUGUCAAUUGAGAGCUUCAAAGGAGUCCCAGUCAACUGCUACAGAGCGUUGCUGCUGUACACUGCUGCUGCUGGGCAGCAGCCCUCUUCGCGAUGAGGCCACUUUGCGAUUUUGUAGUUUUUAAUUCAUAAGUUAGUUUGCCCUAAAUUUUGGAUAUGCUAUAAACACCAUAAGAGAAUAUAUUUAGAAAAUAUAAGCCACCCAUUUUAGACAUCAUAGGCAGCCCAAAACAGAACUUAAAAAUACCCAAUCAUAUCAGUUUUUAACUUUUUCCCAGCUUUACCCUCUCUCGCUAAAACAGUCAUAACUUUUUCGUUUCAAAAUAUUUUUGAGCGAUUCUUGAGCCCACGCGAAGCUAACUUCCGGGACUACAACUUUUAUUCUUUGACCUUUUCCCAAUUAUAAACACAGAAUUUCAGAAAUUCCGUGUAAAGGGACUGACCCGAGUUGGUUAGACAGUUUUGACGCGACUACUUUGAAUGGUCAUAACUCUUUGCUCCGUAGUCAGAAUUAGUCCGUUUUGAAAUCUAUGGAAAGCUUAUUCAAUGUACUAUAAUACCCCAAAAGCCCAGAAUUUUCUGGAAACUCUAGCUAGCCCCGAAUUUGUCCUUAGGGUCAGCAGUUCACAAUUUUUCGGUUUCUAACAUGUUUAUUUCGCGACCUUAUUACUUCUAGCUCAUAUACCAAAUUAGAACAAAUUUUAAAUAUGUUAUAUAUCGUAUAUGAGACUGUAUUUACAAGUUAUAAACUUCCCAUUUCGGAAUCUUUAAGCUGCUCAAAACAGUGGUCAAUAAUGACUUCACACACUUAUUUCCAUCUUUUCGUUUUGGUUUGAAAUUAAGUUUCAUUCUAAUCUAAUAUACUUAAACUCUCUAAUUAUCAUCAUACGUAAUAUAUAAGUUCAUCCCAAGCCUUGUUUUUGUCUAAUAUUCGAUUUUUAAUUAAAAUAGUCCAUUUAGAACUUUUAUCGAACAAGUGGUGUACGUUGUUUUGAAACCUUCUUUUCAUAGCCAUUUGUUUAUGCUACAAUCCCAUUUUAACUCCCUUAUUUCUCCGCACAACCAACCUAAACUCCUUUGCUAUAUCUUAGUCAAUAGCAGUUCAUUUCACAAUUAAAAUUCACAUGAACUAUAAGUUUACUUACUAACCCACACAUAUAUAAGAACUUACAUAGCUUACCAACAUGUCUUACCUUCUUAAACAUAUCAUAUAUUAAAUUUCCAUAUGAUUUUACAACAUAUUAGCUUGGGAAUAUGACACUCGGGAGAGAGAGAGACAAGAAUUUUUUUGGGAAGGAAGUAAUGAAAGAGCUGAUAUGCUCUGCUUUUGAUUGAUCUUUGCUUAGAGUUUGGUUUAUAGGCUAAUAUGAGGGCAGCUCCUGCUAUCCCCAAAUGAUUCAUCUUGUUAUUGCACAACUUCUACUUCACCUGUUAACUGAUUCAACUUAUUUGUUAUAUAAAUCUCCCAGCUCAUGCUAGUUGUUCACUUUUCAAUUACUUGCUUCCAAGUAUACCCCAAAUACGUGUAUAUUAUAAUAUACUAAUAUAAUUCAUACAUUAUCCACUUAAAAUAUAAAGAUAUGAUAUAUUACACCAAAAUUUCCACAGAUGGAAAUAAUCAUUUAUUAUGAUAAUUUUUCUUGAUAUUAAAAUAAUUUCCUCUUUUAUCUUUUCUCUUUCUCUCUCUAAAUUUAGCCAAUUGGGUUAAAAAUGAAUAUAUGUAAAUUUUGAUUUUGCUUAUAUAAAAGUUACUUUCAAUUUCUUAUAAGUUGGUCACCCAACUUAAGUCUUCUCUAGUCUUCCCCUUCGUAUUUAAAAGCUUGCAAAUCACCCCCUGACAUAUUCUUAGCAUAUUCUCAGAAUAUUCUUUAUUCCUUAGCAUAUUCCUUAAGAUAUUCUCUUAAGUUUCAAAUAUUAGGUUUUUAACCCGGAGGUUUUCUUAACUCACACAAUUCUCCCUUAACUUUCAUAAUUCACUUCCAUACUUUAUUAAGUUAUUUAAUCACUCAAUCUUAGUAACUUAAUUUAAUCAAAUAAGUUACUACAUAAAUCUCCUUAAUUUAUUUUACCAUCUUGGAAUCAAAUAAUUUACAUAACCCAUCUUUGAUAUAUAAAUUAUAUAAAAUAUAACAUAACAUACUCAAAUUACAUAUUUAUUUUAUAAUUGUAAAAUAAAUAUGCUACACAUAAUUUCUUAUGUAAAUACAAUUAUUUACAUACCAAAGAUAUUAUAAUAUAGUAUCCUUACCUCAUUAUCAUAAAUUCAAUUAAGAAUUUAUUUACUUUCUUAAGAUAUUACGAUAAAAAAAUAUCUUUUCUUUAUUAAAAUAAUUCAACUCUAGAAUUUAUUUUAAUAUCAUUUAUUUAAAGUAUACAAUAAUUCUUGUAUACUAAUUACUUUCUUUUCCCUUCUAUAAAUUGUUUUCAACAAUUUAACUGUAAUAAAUAUAAUAAUAUACUUACUACAUUAAAAACAUACAUACAUACAUUACAUCCAAUAAUGUAAUACAUGAUUUCUUCAAUAAAAGGGUGGUUAUACAUUAAGUAUAUAUUUAAUGCCACCAAUUUACCACAUUAAAAUAAUUUAAUAUGAUAGAUUAUUUUAAUUCUACACAUUGUUGGAAAAUAUAGCAAUUAACAAGAUGAAUAAUAUAGUAAAUUAGAACAACUUAGCUGGAAAACCAAGGCGUAGCGUAGCUACUGUCCUAAAAAGUGAUUUCGCCCCCACUGAUAAUAAUCACAGUACAUAUGGGCUGCCGGCGAUCACUCUCCAGGAUUCAACGUCGAAGUCUCCGAUCGUGUGUACUCACAAAAGGAGGCUUUGGACUUGUCUAUGUGGAUUCCCAAUUAACAGAAUAUAUAUUUGUGUAAGGAAGAAUAGAACAGAAUAGACUGUAUAGCGAUUUCUCACGUGUAAUUCUUGUCGAUCAGCAUAUACAUAGCUUGAUCUGUUGUAGAUGUAGAUGCUUGCUUAUUUUCUCAACUCAACUAGCGGUUUUCUUCACUAACUUAAUUGGGCUCCAAAGAAAACCCAAAAGUGAUAAUGAGAAAGGAGUAUUACUUUACAAGCAAAACUAGGCCUAUUUAAUUGUAUUAGAAAAGCAGUUAUCAGUAGCUGAAGAGAGAGAAAACACGAUAAUGAUAUAUUGGUAUUCUACUAAGAAGAAUAAUUAUAAGAACGAUUAUUAGAACGUUAUUGCUUACGCUAAAUAAAUGUUGCAACGGGGGUUACAGAAAACGGCUAGGAAAUUAACUCAGGGGUUACAGAAAAUACUAAUAUACACUAUGAGUGUUCCCAAAAUAGCUGAUAUGGGACUUUGAUAAAAACCAUAAUUUUGAAGCAUAACCAACAAUCCCCCACAUGAUUCAAAAUUAUCAAAGAUAGAAAAAUUAAAAGGAAGUGAGAAGGGCAAUGGAUUUUAGAUACAUAACAUCGAUACCUUGUGGGUUUGAAUCGACACUUAGUGGAACAAGCUCAUGACUGUAGAUUAUGAUUGAAUUAUAUUCUUGAACCCAUUAUCUUUGAUACAAUCAAUUGAACUUGCACACAUAUCAAAAAAUCAUGAAUCCACACAAGUCCGCGGUUGGGCGCGUUCUAGGCCAUGCGCCAUAUCCCAGAUUUUCAUAAAGGCUCUAGAGAGUUUGCCAAAGACUCUCAUAGAAAGCGGCCUACACUUCCACCUUUAUAUAGGUGAACCCAUCAAGUGUAUACUGACAUACACCACCCUUUAGGGCUAUGAGUUUCAUUAAGAAUCUAAAUGAUUCAUCCUAUCACAAUUUGUCAGUAAGCACCACAUGCACACAAGAAGGGAUAUAAAUAAUUGUAGUGCUAUAAUUAAGUAAUUACGUGACUUGUUGUUACCCAUUGAACCCAAUUCAUGGGAUCUCCAAUCACAUGGGUUGGGUUUCCAUCACGUAUUACUUACUUAAGAUGUUGGCAAUAGUCCCAUCCCUCUGGAUGCUUCUUGGACACUCUUUUUAAUUAAUCCCUUUGUAAGUGGAUCCGCUAGGCUCUUUUCAAACCUUACAAAUUCCAUGGAAAUAACAUUGUUUACUGAUCAGUCCUCAUUCAUAUUAUGUCUCAAGCGAAUUUCCCAUUAUACACAUGGUUCAUUCCUUAUCCAAUAGCAGCUUGAGAAUCACAAUGCAGAGAUAUAUAAGGAAUUAUUAUGUCUGCCAAUAAAUUUCUCAGCCACUCUGCUUUUGUACCUGUCCAUUCUAAUGCAAUAAAUUCAGAUUUCAUAGUAGAUUUAACAGUACAAGUUUGUUUAGCAAAUCUCCACGAAACAACUCAUCCACUUAAAGUAAACACAUAUCCACUUGUGGAGCUUGUUUCAUCAUUAGCAGAUACCCAAUUAGCAUCACAAUAUCCUUCAAAAACAUUAGGAUUAUCAGAAAAAUGUACAUUUACAUUAACUGUUCCUUUUAAAUACCUCAUUAGACGUGACAAUGCAUUCUAAUGAACUUGUGAAGGAUUAUGCGUAUAUCUGCUAAGUCUACUAAUGACAUAUUCAAUAUCAGGUCGAGUACAAUUCAUUAAGUACAUUACACUAUCAAUGAUUAUGGCAUCUUCAGUUUGUGCAAUAUCAAUCCCCUUUAUUUUUCUUUAAAUGCACACACUAGAGUCACAAGGUGUUCCUAAUGGCUCUUUAUUAAAAAAUUAAAUUUCUUAAGAAUUUCACAUAAUAAAAACAAACCAUGUGCAUUUUUUUAUUAAUUCUCAUGCCAAGAAUCAAGUUCAUUUUUUCAUGCCAAAUUUAGAAAAUAAAAAAUAUUUUAAUAGUUUUCACAACUAUUUCAUCAGUACCAAAUAUCAGCAAAUUAUCCACAUAUAAUCACAUCACAAUUUUCAUGUUUUGUAUCUCAUGCAUAUAUCACAUUUCUCAUGCUUCACAGUUUAUGUAUAAUUCAUAUUUUAUACAUGCGUCAUCUUUCUCAUAUUGUACAUUUAUACAUGUUUGACAUCUGAUACAUGCUCUAUAAUGCUCAUACUUAUCAUUUCUCAAAUUAUAUAGUUCACAUAUAACAAUUAACUUAAAUUAUCAACAGAUUAUUAAUAAUUAUUAUCACAUUGUUGCACGGAGUGCACAUUAAAAUAAUUCACAAAAAUUUCACAUAAUACUGAACAUUAGCACAUAACAACAAGUACUGAAAAACUUGCUUUAAAAUUAUCAAUAGACCGGUCAAUUAACUUUUAACUUCUUUUUAAACACCCAAUAGAUUUACUUCUUUUUAGGCAAAAUAACUAGCUCUCAUGUAUGAUUACUCAUACUGGAUAACAUCUUUUCAAAAGAUUGCAUCAAAUCAUUUUAUUGCUUCUUCAUAAGUUUUAGGGUUAUCUUCAGUUAUCAAAAGUCUAAAUGCAACACUGUUUGAAACAUAUCCAAUAAAAAUACAAACCAUUGUUUUAUGUCCAAUUUUAUUCCUUUUUAAAUUCUAGUAUAGCUACUUUAGCUAGACACCCCCACAUUUUAAGAUACCCCAAGUUAGUUGCAUGUUCCUUCCAUAAUUGACAUGGUAAAGAGUUUAUCCUUUUAUGUGGAACUCUAUUAAAAAUUGAUUAUUCAGAAAGGCAAGCUUCUCCCCACAUAUUGGAAGCUAAUUAACAUGACAUUCAUCAUAUCUUUAAGUGUUCGAUCUAUUUUUCCUUUCUAACUAAUUUUCAACCUCUAUUUUAUUUAAAAAACAUUUCUCCACUUCAUCUUUUAAAGACAAUGAGAUAGAUUUGAGUAUAUCUAGAAUUAUCAUCAUUGUUCACCAUCUUUGCCACAUGAACCAAAUUAACAUAAAAUAAUAGAACAUAAAAACAGAAGAAAGACUUCGUCAGGCUUAAGAAACACAAUCCAUAUAAAUGCUCAAUUAUUUACCAUUAAUCUUUCAGCUCAUAAGACGUGAAUUUAGGGAAUAAUUCAAUAAAAUUACUAAAACCUAAAUUACCCCACUAGGAACAAGGUACAUGUGUUAUUACAACAUGGUAAUUUAAUUCUAAGCACCAACAAUUAAUAUUUCAAAAAUAUUAAUAAAGGAAUUAAAUAACAGACAACAUUACUCAAUUAAUAUUCCAAGUAUGCUAUAAACACAUUAAAAUACUUCUAUAAAAUUUACAACAAUAUCUUAUCACCACCAAAGAUUACUGUAAUUUUCUGAAAUUUUUCUGAAGAUCAUGCAAAUUAUCAUAAUUAAUUAACUAUUGCAUAAUUAAAUUAGAUAUUAAAUAAAAUUAUCCAAAUAUAUUAAUUUUCCAAAACUUCAGUGGAAAUAUUAAUUUUAUGCCAAUAAUUAAUAUCAUUGACUGGAAAUAAAACUUCCAUCAAAUUCAAAAUUACUCAAUUCUCCACAAAUUGUAUCAAAAAAAAAAUUAUGUAUAGCAGCAACACCUAGCCCAUUACUAUCAUUUGGUAAGUAGGCUCAUAUUUUUAACUCUAAGCACAUUCAUAGAUUUCAAAAAAAAACGCAUAUACAUCUACAUCACCUCCAAUUUGAUUAGACCAAUUUGAAUGUUCAUAAGUUAUUAAAGUUUAUUUCAUAAUUACUAGAUAAAAGAUAUAAUUCCCUUAAACAUAAAUUAAAGAACUCAGAAUGAUUUUCAUAAUAGGCUUUACAUUAGAUGAGAACCAUCUGACAAUUAAACAUGGUAUUUAGUUAUCAAAUCAGAAAACAAGUGAUCAAGGAACUUGACACUGGUGAUUACAGGGAAACUUGUCAAGUAAAUGGUAUUCAUUGAAACGCAAUCAGGACUUACAGUGUGCACCAACUAGUCCAGUAACAUCAACUCUAAACAUAACUUAACACCAGUAACAAGUAAUUAAGUCGCAUAAUUGUCAUCAGUUAUGCGAAUAAAGUUCUUAUAUCUAGCAACUGUUCAAAUAUUUAGCAAUGUAUUUGUGAUAUAUUAACUCUAAAAACAACAAGUAUUCUUGUUAAUAUAUAAAAUCACUUUUUAGAUUGUUGAAAAAUAUAGCAAUUAACAAGACGAAUAAUAUAGCAAAUUGGAACAACUUAGCUGAAAAACCGAGGUGUAGCAUAGCUACUGUCCUAAAAAGUGAUUUCGCCCCCACUGAUAAUAAUCACAGUACAUAUGGGCUGUCGGCGAUCACUCUCCAGGAUUCAACGUUGAAGUCUCCGAUCGUGUGUACUCACAGAAGGAGGCUUUGGACUUGUCUAUGUGGAUUCCCAAUUAACAGAGUAUAUAUUUGUGUAAGGAAGAAUAGAACAGAAUAGACUGUAUAGCGAUUUCUCACGUGUAAUUCUUGUCGGUCACCAUAUACAUAGCUUGAUCUGUUGUAGAUGUAGAUGCUUGCUUAUUUUCUCAACUCAACUAGCUGUUUUCUUCACUAACUUAAUUGGGCUCCAAAGAAAACCCAAAAGUGAUAAUGAGAAAGGAGUAUUACUUUACAAGCAAAACUAGGCCUAUUUAAUUGUAUUAGAAAAGCAGUUAUCAGUAGCUGAAGAGAGAGAAAACACGAUAAUGAUAUAUUGGUAUUCUACUAAGAAGAAUAAUUAUAAGAACGAUUAUUAGAACGUUAUUGCUUACGCUAAAUAAAUGUUGCAACGGGGGUUACAAAAAACGGCUAGGAAAUUAACUCGAGGGUUACAGAAAAUACUAAUAUACACUAUGAGUGUUCCCAAAAUAACCGAUGUGGGGCUUUGAUAAAAAUCAUAAUUUUGAAGCAUAACCAACACAAAUCUCAUUUUAUUUAAUAAAUUGCUCCUACCAUUUUGCUUACAUAUAAUAAAUAUAUAAUACUAAUAUAUUUAUUAAACAUAAACAUCACUUAUUACGUAGUUCUUACUCAUCUGUGCAAUAUAAUAUACACAACAUAUCAUUUAAUAAGAAUUUUCUUUGUUUAAUUCUUAUUUAACUAUUACCCAAAAAUUUGGGUUAUCACAAUAUUUCCCUUUAUAAGGAUUUCGUUCCCGGAAUCACAAUAUCGAAUCAUUCUUAAUCGUUUUAGAUCUUAUUCUUUCUCGUAACCUUAUCGUUGAAUCAUUUCAACGUAUCAUUUCCUUAGAUUUUUCUUAAAAAUUUUAAAUAAAUCCUCUAUUUCCACUCUAGGUUUUAAACUUUAAGCCUUAAUUUAAUCAUUAAAGAUCUUCUAAAUUUUUGGGUUGUCACAGUUAUGAUAGUGUAGUACUAACUCAUGCUAAUAAUGCCUAGAAAUGAGUUAUUUUGGUAUUGAUACAUUUGCAAAGUUUCAAGCCUGUCAAAGUAUGUGAUGAUGAGUUUUAAGGAUCAUUUGAAGUUUAUAUGAAUGCUUAGAUAACCCUUGAAUCAUAGCUUGGAGUCUGUUUUUGUGAGUAAUAGCCAAAAAUGUGCUUAUAUAAACUCUAGAUUAGAGAACUGUUAAGAUCAAGGUCAGUACCUGAACUUUUGAGUCAGUGAGAAGACUAUAAUUGUCCAUAAUUAAAAUUUAAAAGUUGUUCAUUCACUUAGUUGAGGUCCAUAUUGAUUACUACUCAAUUUUCAUGUUUAAAGGCCAUGAAAAGUAAGCUUUAAAGUGUCAUCUAACACUUAAACAAAGCGAGGCCAAACCUGAACCUUGUAGGUAAAUUUUAAUAGCUAUAAUAUGGCAUAAGUAAACUACAUAAGUUAAAAAAACCAAGUCUAAACUGUUUUGAAUAUUGGACUUGUUAAAAAUCAUGUUUUAGGCCAAAAAUGGUCCGUUUUGGGUAAAUUUUAGUACCUGAAUUUGUAAGACUAUAAUGAACUCAUAUAAAGUUUCUAAUACAUGCUUGUGAUGAUUUCUAAUCAUUUCCAUGACCAAAGUUAGAAAGAAAACCAAGUUAAGAUCUAUUUUUCAAGCCUAAAAUGAGUUUUAAUAGGUCAAAAUUAGCUAGAUGGCUAAACAUUGAAAUGAUGAUAAAAGUAACCAUAGGAAACUAAAAUACACAUGUCUAGACUAUUAAAGUAGACAAAAAUGAAAAAAAUUUAAGAAGUGUCAAAAUUAGUUUUGGAAAAAAAGUGUUAAACUGUCCAGUUUGAGCCUCAGUUAAAGUAGGCCUAACUGAUAUGAAUGAGGAACCUAAACCCUUAUUAAAAUAUCUUGGUGUGUGGUCUAGAAGUAGGGCUAGAUGAUAGAGAUAAAAUAUUAACCAAGAAAUUCCAACAAAUCAUCAAAGUAGGCAAUAAACUCAAUUCUGCAACAAUUGGGUAGUAAAGUUACUCAACAAAUGGUAGAGUGAAAAACUCAGCAGGUGGUAGAGUGAAAAACUGGGCAAAUGGUAGAGUGGCUUAGCAAAUGUUAGAGUGGCUCUGCAGAUAGUAGAGUGGUUCAGUAGAUAGCAGAGUGGCUCAGCAGAUAGUAGAGUGGUUCAGUAGAUGGUAGAGCGGAAAACUCAGCAGAUGAUAGAGUAAAAAACUCUGCAAAUAGUAGAGUGAAAAACUUAACAAAUAUUAGAGUGAGAACUCUAAAAAUCGUAGAGUGGUCUCUAAAAAUUAUAAAGUGAACUCUGAAAAUAGUAGAAUGACUCUCAAAAUCGUAGAGUGAACUCUAAAAGCCGUAGAGUGAACUCUAAAAGUCGUAGAGUGACUCUCAAAAUCGUAGAGUGAAAAUUGUAGUGCAAAAAUAGUAAAGUGCAGAUAAUAGAGUGAAAAUGGGUAAACACCCUAGUUUGUGCCCAGAUUUGGUUAACUUCCAUAACGAAAUUUAAGAAACCAAACUCAUGGCAAACUAAUAUGAUAUAUGAUCUAAAUGCUUGCACAAAUAAAAGAUCAAAUAUGCUAACCAUAAAGUCAAAAAACAUUAUAAAAGUGGCCUAAAAAUUCACUUUUGCUGCAGUUAGUAGUAGAGUGGAAAUGUUAAACACCCAUUUUGAGGCACUGCCUUAAAAAGCCUUAAGAGGUUGUUUCAGUUAACUAACUAUGGAAUAAAACACUAUAAUGUAUGGUUUAAAAUCUUGUUCAAACUUAGAAGUCAAAAUCUCAUUACAAAGAUUCAUAAAAAUUCCUAAAGUACCCUAAAAAUCAUAUUUUUUAUUUUUGAAUAAUGAUGGAAUAAUGGGAUUUGAUUCCUGGAAAUGUCACAGCAUAACGUAAGAUCAUAUUUGAAGUGUAUAAUGAUCAAUGAUUUGUAUUAUGUUAUGAUUGGACUAAAAUGAGUAUAUUUCAGAAUGUAUAAGAACUAAGUACGUAAUGUAUACUAUGUGAGUAUGAUCACAAAGUGAUGAACAAAGGCUAUAUGUCUAAUCUAAGUCUAAGGAACUUAGAUGAGUAAGGUUUAACCAAGUAUGGUAUGUUGUAAUGGUUUGAUACACACACAGUAAACUAUAAGUGCAAUAAACUAGCACAUGUGGUGAUGAAAGGGAAAUAAAAAUGAGUUAUAUAAAUAACAAAGUUGAAUAUAAAAAUGGUAAAAGGACAAUAUAAGUAAAAGUAGGUUAUUAAAGUAAGGUUAACCAUGAGAUCAAGUAUUGGUGAUGUUUAUUAUCAAUCUCACAUACCUUAUAGGUCAUGAAAAGGAACACGACAGGUUAACGGUAAAACGCCGGUACAGACAAGUUUUUCAGAACUUAUUUUUAUACAUGAACUUGUUAAUUGUUAUGUGCACAGAUUUCCUGUAUUAUAUGUACUUCUUGUGAAUAAUUUGAGAUGUACACUAUGUAUUAUACUGUGAUAUAAAUCUAUUGAAUCAAGUUAAUGAUUGAUGUGGAUUGAGUUAUGAAAACUCAGUAUAUUCAUGAUAUGAGAUACAUGAUAAGCAUGAAGCAGAUAUAAUUGUUGAGUAUGAACAUUAUGAUGGUUGAAUAAAUGCAAAGUAUGAGAAACACGAAUUAUGUAUAAACUGUGGAGCAUGAACAAUUUAAAGUGUAUUUAAAAUGUGGUUGCUCACCCUUGCUAUAAAUAAUUGUUUUAAGAUAAACCAGAGAGGAUCGAAGUAUUCAGGAUAGACACAGGAAAAAAGGAAAAAAUAUUGAUUGAAGUUGUUUGUUUAGUUCUAGCUAUGCUAGAGAACAUUCAUAUGACAUACUAUAAUUGUUUAAUCAAAUAACAUUGUAUAGAAGAAUAGUUAAGUCUAGUUGUGAGUUCAUGGAUACUUAAAAUCCAAUAUCUUUAAGUGAAACAUAUUAUUUAUAACUUGAACUGUAUAAUUUAAAUCAAUAUAAUUUAAAAGUGUAAUAUUAGGUUGUAAAGGUUACAGAUUCUGAAAAUGGAAAGAAUUAAUGUAUUAAUUGGUAUCAAAGCGAGAUUGUAUUAAUUAUUUUAUGAAUAAAGGUUAUAAUCAUAUGAAGGUUGUAUAGUAAUGCACCAGGUCCGAGGUAACAGGUACCCGGAUUUGGGGGCGUUACAUGAUCCAUAUCAAAAUGCUAUUUAUGAACAUAGAGUUCAACUUCUGACUUUAAUCAUUACCUGGAUAUUCGCAACGUAAUCCAACAUCUACAUACUCACUAUACACCACCUUUUAUACACUAUUGUCAUCACAUAAAUCUACUUUACAAAAAAUGAUAAAGUUAUAUUUCAUGUUCACACGAAUACUUUUAGCCAACAUCCAUCUAUUGGACAACUCAAAGUUUAUACAAUUCAAUAAAACUAUGUUACAACAUGUAGCAUCGACUUGGUAUAAACUAAAUUUGAUAAAACAAUACGCCUUUACUAAGCAUGUCGUAUUUGGAACCUUCGCUGCUAUAAUUUCUGAUAAAUCAACUUUCAUCUGCAAAUUUUAUAUUUUACAAUGUUGAGCAAAACGACCAAGCAAGUCUAACAGUUUUCAUGCAUCACGUUUCAUAUAUACUAUGCAUUUCAAUCAUGCAUCAUAUAGCUCAUGUUAUGCAUUUUAUACAUGCAUCAUAAAUCUUAUGCAAUGCAUUUACAUAUGCUUCACACAUCUCAUAAUAUGCAUCUUCAUAUGCGUACUUUCAAUUUCAUCAUAUUAUUUUUAGAUCAUACUUCACAUGUUACCAAACGUAACAUUUGUCACAUAUCUCCAUUCACAUAUCACAAACAAAUUGAGUUCCAUAACUCAAUUAACUUUAGUCAUAAUUUGACUUUAGCGAUUCGUAUAACAUUGACAUUCAAAAACAUGAAUUUUAACAUAUUCACAAGGAUUUCAUCAUAAUGCGAUAACAAUUGCACAUAACUAACAUCGAGUUCACAUAAUACAAGCAAACUGAAAAAUUUGUCUUUAUUGCAAAUUGCUUCCGGGUCUACUUGAUAUCGCGUACUCAAAGCAAUGUUAUCUCUGUCAGGAAUAUGCAUGAGAAUGUUAUUCCUUAUUUAUAUAAUUAAAUGAUGAAGAUGAUGAAGUUAAUGAAUGAAUAUGCAAAUGUGUUUGCAUUGAUAAAAGUCGUAAAGUCCUUAAUAGAUGAUAGACAAUACGGACAAUGACUUAGAUUGAAAUGAUCAAAUAUGUUAGGUUGAUCGAAUAUGAAUGAAUAGUUUUGUAAAAGUCCUUCAAAAGAUCAUGAUGUACAAGGACUAUGAAUAGAAAGAUCAAACUUGUUAGGUUGAUCUUAUGAAGUAUAAUAGAUAGGCAUGUUUGAUCGAAUAACGCUGAAUCAGUCACUAUAGUCUGCCAAGAAAGUAAAACAAGAAUCGUAAGCCUCACUCGAUAUUGCUGAAGCCAGCUAAGAGAUUGUUGAAGCCAAGAAAGAAUCGCAGUCUGUCAAAGAAAGUCACUCUCGAGAUCGUAGAGACAGUUUGCUGAGUGUCUGCCGAGCCAAGUGAAGAAUCGCAAGCUUCGCUCAAAAUCAUGGAAUCUACAAGUCAUCACCAAUGAAAAUCGUAGUCAUUUAAGUGCUCGUAAUACUAAAGUAGAAUCGUAGAGCACUCUACGAUUCUCAACAGAUGAACAAUCCUGAAGUGCAUACAUAGAUCUCAUCCUCUGAUAAGUGUAAUCAUGUUUCAGUAUGCAAUCUACUUGAAGAAUAUCAGAAAGCAUUCUCUGAAUGGCCGGAAAGUAAACAGAAGAUCAAAACACCAACUUUAUAUAUAGCAAGGCUAAUAGAGAAUUGAAAAGCUAUUCAGAAAGAGUCUCAUCAGAAGACAACGAUCGUAGUGCUUACCAAACAGCAAAAGGGUCUGUCAAAGAAACUACAAAGAUAAUGGUAAACCUGCCACAGAGUAAGUAGAAGACAAACUAGGAGGAUGUCAAUGCUCAGCCUCACCAUGGAGUAUGAUCAAGAGAUCAUAAGGCUGAAGAUUAAAGAAGCUGAGCAUAACUAAUCAAAAGGGAUAUGCAAACCAAAGUGUCAAAGCAGUCAUUCAACUUGUUAGUUCUUGAAGCAAGGCAAGACAAGCAUGAUCGUAGAACAGACUGCAAGAGCAAAGUACAAGAUGGUAAAGCGUUGAGCACUCUCAGAAUCAUAAGAGAUGUCAAGGUCAAAUCAUCCUACGAUUUCCACAGACAAGCUAUGACCAAGUAAUCGUAGAGUUCAUAAAGGUCAACAUCAACAUCGUAGAGGGCGUUUGUCUGAUGAGUGAGAAUGUUUAAACAAAGAAGACCGACAUUCAAACGUUGUGAAUUGAGGAUCCCGAUAUACUCUCCAAACAUCCUUGAUGUAAAUCAAGGAAACAAAAAAAAGGGUGACUAGCUACUAAUCUGCUGAAGGUGACGUUUCAAAAGUGUUAGGUGAUAAAGCAGACUGUUGUGUCAGGCAAGUCAAAAAGGAGUUGUCACAUCAACUCAGUAUGUCUACAUCAAAGAUUUCAGAAUAGCUACAACAUUAAAUGCUCCAAAUAAAGCUCUUCAACGGAAGACUCCCAUCGACUAUGUUCCAACGAGAAGAUAAUAGAUGAAUCUAAAAAUAGCUGAAGCUUCAAAGAAGACAUAGUUAUUGACUUGAGAUGAAGUAAGUCAUAUAGAGUUUAAUAGAGAAAAGGUCUCAGUGAGAGUGAGACCACCACAGAAGAGUGAAUCAUAACUAAUGCGAGUCUUACAAUGAAAAAGCCUCACUCAAUACAAAGGACUAUGACAACGAAGUGACAUCUAUACUGAGAGCCGGAAGGCCAAGAAGAAAACAACUAGAGUGGCAGAUCAGAAAGCAAAAUACUUGAGUCACUCUACGUUUCACCAUGAACACACUGAGCUGAAGAUAAGAAGAUACAGAGCCGAAUCUGUUCACAAAACAACUAGUGUUCAAAGACGGCUAAGUACCUAAAAAAGACAAGUUGAUAUGAAAAGGCUUAGCAAUACCUCAACGGUAACAAUGUGCAAUGUUGAAUAUCAGAUGAAGACAAACAUCAACAACACAAAGAACAACAGCACCAAGGGAAGAAUCAGACUGCCAAUUACCAAUAAGAUGUCAAGUUGAAUGUACAUCUUAGCAGUCUAUUAGAUGUGAUCAAGUACUAAUGUUGAAUGCCUAAUGAUCACAAGAAGUCGCUAAGUACCAGAAGAUGAACAAGCUAAAUGUCAUCUUAGCAGCUCAACAACAACAAACAACCACUCAAGCAACCAGGGCCUGCAGGGUCCUUGUCUUAGUGACUAAACCAAAGUCAAGUCUGUUGAGCUUGCUGAGUACCGGAGGGUACAAGAGAUUCUAAGUCUGUCGAGCUUAGUCUACAGUUUUCAAGGCUGCUGGUCUUGAAGGAAUCUUAGUGAUUCGAAGUUAAUCAAAUCCUUAGUGGAAUUGCCUGCUUGUUGAAGCAGAAGAGUGGAUUAGGAGCAUUCAGUCUCUGAACCACUUACAACCUCUGGUGUAAUUUACUUUACGUCAUUUACACUCAGUACUAUAACUGUUAUAUCUGCUUGCAACUAAUUUAAUAUUAGAACUGCGUUUAAUGUUAUAUUCUUGAAGGGGAUCUUAAUUUAUUCUGAUGUGCAUAAAUUGAUUCCUCUAUCAUUAUCUGUUUAUCACUUAUCUAGAUAAAAGAAAAAGAAAAAUGUUUAAGGAUCUAUUCAACCCCCCUUCUAGAUCUAUUGUGUGCCCCCGGGAACUAACAAUCUCGUAUCGCACCUAUAUAGCAUACAUAAGGUUGUUGUGUAAGUUAAUGCAUUUAUAUCUCAUGAACUUUUGACUUAACUUUGUAUUUUUCAAGCUUAGUAAUUCAGUCUUAACUUUAUCAAAUAUAUUAGAUUUAUUUAUAUUAUUAUAGGUCAAACUACACUAUUAAAUGUCCAAUUAUGCCAUCAUAUGUCAUAAUAUAUCAGUCCUCCAAGUAUCGUUUUAAAAAGAAUUAUAAAACUCGUUUGACCUAUUUUAAUCGUUAAUGAACCUUGUUUAUCGUUUAAUCAUAAUUUCUUCGUUUCUUAUCCGUUUUGGUUUAUUCUUACGCCAAAUUAAAGCUUAUUGCAUCUACUUUAACAUCAUAUAGGCUCUGAUUUCAGUCCUACAGAAAAUUGCCCAAAGUUGCUGCCCAGAAUCUGUCUAAAUUCUAGAAAGGUUGAAUGACACUACUGUCCCUCUAAGUUGCCACCCACUUUCUAAGUCGUCCCUAAAGUUCAUGAAUUUUUGUCAAUUAGAUCCUUAAAGUAACAUUUUGUUGGCGUUCCAGUUUCUUCAGCCUAAUUUAACCUCAACCCGACCCAUUUUGACCCAACCCAGUUUGACCCAACCUAAAAUUCUAAUAUUUAAAAUAUAAAUUAUUUUAAAAAUAAUAAUUAUAUUUAACAUUUAAAAUAUAUAUAUUUAAUAUUUUAAAAUAAAUUAUUAUAUUUAAAAUAAUAAUAAUUUUAAUAUUUUAAAAUAAAAAAAAUUAUUAAAAAUAGCUAAUUUUGAUAUUUAAAAAUAAAAUAUUAGUUUUUCAAAAAAUUAAAUAAUAAUUAUAUUUAAUAUUUUUUUAAAUAAUUUUAAAAUAAAAAUUAUUGUCAAUAUUUUAAAAUAAUAAUUAUUUUUUAUAUUUAUAAUAAAAUAUUAUUUUUAAAAAGUUAUAAAGAUAAUUAUUAUUAUAAGGAAAAAUAUUAGAAAAUUAUAUUUUUUUUCAAAAAUGAGUAAAGUUUCAAAAAAUAUAGAUUCAAAAAAAUUACAUAAGAAAAUAAAACUUUAUGUUUUAAAAAUAAAUUAAUUUUUUUUUCAUUUUUUAUGUAAAAUUUAUUUUUAGAAUUUUUUUUAUUAUCUUUAAAAUUACUAUAUGUAUUCUUAAUAUUAGAAUUUUUAGAAACAAAAACUAAAAAUAGAAAUUAAAAUAUAAAAACAGUAAAAGAUAAAUAAAAAGUUGAUUCAAAAAUUUUUAAAUAAAUUUUUUUUUAAAAAUAAUUAUUAUUUUCUGAAAUAAAAAAUUAUAAUUUUUUAAAAAAUAAUUAAAAACUUUAGGGAUCUAAUCUUAAUAUUAAAUUUAAUUAUUAUUUAAUUUUUUUAAAAACGAAUAUUUUAUUUUAAAAUAUUAAAUAUUUAUUUUAAAUGUUAAAUAUAAUUAUUAUUUUAAAAUUAUUUUUAAAAUAAUAUUAUAUUCUAAAAUAUUAAAAAAUUGGGUUGGGUCAAACUGGGUCGGAUUUGGUCAAAAUGGGUCCGAUUGAGGUCAAAAUGGGUUGAAAGAACGGAAACGCCAACAAAAUGCCACAUUAAUGACCUAACUGACGAAAAUUAAACUUUAGGAACGAAUUUGAAAGUGUGUGACAACUUGGAGGAAUAGAAGUGUCAUUCAACCUUCUAGAAAUUCACAUUUUUGUGUUUCUCGGGCUAGUAUUGUGAAUUUUUCUCAUUCAUUAUACAUCGGAUUAAAGCCAUUUUUGGAUAUGUUCUACCUCAUACUGCGUUGUAUCGUUGUAUUUUUAAAAAUAUAACAUGUAUGAAAAGAAUUUGGCAAGUCUUCGAAACACUGGCCCGAAAACAGCCCAUUCACAACAGUUUUAGACUUGGAAAUUUCCAGAUUUCUAGCAACUUUGUUAUUUUCCUACCUAAUUUGCGAUUUAGUAACUUGCACACCAUACAUCCGAUUUACUUCAAUUUUGGAUAUGUUUGAGAUGUUAAUACAUACUCCCUCCGUCCCAUAUUUAAAUGUCUUAAUUUCUUUUUUAGGAUGUUCCAAAAUAAAUGUCCUAUUUCUAUAUUAGUAACUAUAUUUGUCAUAUUUUUCCCCUUAUACCCUCAUAAUCUUUUUACUCGACUUAAUUUUAUUGGAAAUUGAAUAAAUGUGAAAAUAUUUAUAUUGGGAACUGGUGUAUAGUAUACUACUUUCAUUCUAACAUCUCUUUUUAUUUUAUGUACUUAUUGGGAAUGUGAGAGUUACAAAAAAAAUCUAGAUAAUUAAAUGAUGUGGGAAAGUAAUUAUUGGGGUCAUAGAAAAGUGAAGAAAUACUUUAAUUAAUAAGUAAUUAAAAGGGUAACUUAGGUAAAAGAAAAUUGUAUUAAUCAACUUGCCGAAACAAAUUAGGACAUUUAUUUUGGGACAGAAGGAGUAGUAUUUUAGAAAAAUACUAAUUUCCCAAAAUGAAUUCUCUAAGGCAUACUUAUAGAGGUUCAAAGUUCCCAGUUCUUCACAAAUUUUAGCUUGAAACUAAUUUGGUAAAAUCUUUUGAUUUCACUUUUAAACUGAAUUUAAAUCAUUCACAUGACUCAAGCUAUAUAUCUUGAAUUUCACAUUUAAAUAUCUCUUAGCUUCAAGCUUUGCUCAAAUCUCAAAUUUUAAGCAUUAAACCUCUUUGAGGUAUUUUAUCAAGCAUCUUACAUUCAUAGUCUAAAUUUCUUGAUUUCAUACAUGUUUAGGCAUGGUCUAGCCCUAAAAUUUUCAACCUUUUCACUCUAGAGUUCAUUUACUAUUUUUAUCAUACCAAUUCACAACUAAGCACAUCAAUAUAUAGCAACAAUCAACUAUUCUCUAUCUCAAUUCAUGAACUUAGUAAAUAAAACUAACUUACCUCUUUGUAGCUUGAUGUUAUGAUCAAAUCCUUGCUCCAACUUGAAAUUAGUUGAGUUAAAUUCUUCUUUUGGACUGUACCUUACUCAAUUUCUCUUCAAUUUCAGUUACCAACUUCAAUCUUUAGAGAAUUUGAUGAAUACUCAUGUUUUGGUAGUAGAGAUAUAUAUAAAAACAUAAACAAUUGUAGAAUAAGAUAUGGAACUUGAACUGAGAACUGGACUUAGAAGAGAUGGAUGGAAGAGGAGUAUGAGAAUUGUGAUUGCUGAAAAUUGGGUAUAUGCUCCUUAGUCUCUCUCUCCCACUAUCGGACCAAGUUUAGCUUUCUCAUGCUUAGUGUCCUUAAUUGGUUUAGAAAUUAGAAUAAUGACACCUCCUGCUUUCCUAAUGUGACUCAGCAACUAGCCCUCUCCCUUUUCAAUUCUGAGUACAUUUGGUUCAACU